AUCCAGCUGACGAGUCCCAAAUAGAAGGAAACGCUUGUGUUGGAU
RNAcentral lists this non-coding RNA (45 nucleotides) under Schistosoma mansoni. Lineage: Eukaryota; Metazoa; Platyhelminthes; Trematoda; Strigeidida; Schistosomatidae. The record is from RNAcentral.